GUUUGAUCCUGGCUCAGGAUGAACGCUAGCGGCAGGCUUAACACAUGCAAGUCGAGGGGUAACAGGAGUAGCAAUACUUGCUGACGACCGGCGCACGGGUGAGUAACGCGUAUGCAACCUACCUCUAACUGAGGGAUAGCCCGGAGAAAUCCGGAUUAAUACCUCAUAAUAUUUCGAAUUCGCAUGUUUUCGAAAUUAAAGCUCUGGCGGUUAGAGAUGGGCAUGCGUGACAUUAGUUAGUUGGUGAGGUAACGGCUCACCAAGACUGCGAUGUCUAGGGGGUCUGAGAGGAUGGUCCCCCACACUGGUACUGAGACACGGACCAGACUCCUACGGGAGGCAGCAGUGAGGAAUAUUGGGCAAUGGACGCAAGUCUGACCCAGCCAUGCCGCGUGCAGGAUGACUGCCCUAUGGGUUGUAAACUGCUUUUAUUUGGGAAGAAACCCCUGCUCGUGAGCGGGGCUGACGGUACCAAAAGAAUAAGCAUCGGCUAACUCCGUGCCAGCAGCCGCGGUAAUACGGAGGAUGCAAGCGUUAUCCGGAUUUAUUGGGUUUAAAGGGUGCGCAGGCGGGAAAUUAAGUCAGUGGUGAAAUCCUGCAGCUUAACUGUAGAAUUGCCAUUGAUACUGAUUUUCUUGAGUGCAGUUGAGGUGGGCGGAAUGUGUAAUGUAGCGGUGAAAUGCUUAGAUAUUACACAGAACACCGAUUGCGUAGGCAGCUCACUAAACUGUUACUGACGCUCAGGCACGAAAGCGUGGUAGUCCACGCCGUAAACUAUGAUCACUCGUUGUUGGCAAUAAACCGUCAGCGACUAAGCUAAAGCAAUAAGUGAUCCACCUGGGGAGUACGGUCGCAAGAUUGAAACUCAAAGGAAUUGACGGGGGCCCGCACAAGCGGAGGAACAUGUGGUUUAAUUCGAUGAUACGCGAGGAACCUUACCUGGGCUUAAAUGCAGAACGAUUUCCGCCGAAAGGUGGUUUCCUUCGGGCGUUUUGCAAGGUGCUGCAUGGUUGUCGUCAGCUCGUGCCGUGAGGUGUCGGGUUAAGUCCCAUAACGAGCGCAACCCUCAUCGUUAGUUGCCAUCGGGUAAUGCCGGGGACUCUAACGAAACUGCCGGUGUAAACCGUGAGGAAGGUGGGGAUGACGUCAAAUCAGCACGGCCCUUAUGUCCAGGGCUACACACGUGUUACAAUGGCCAGUACAAAGGGCAGCUACCUGGUGACAGGAUGCUAAUCUCUAAAACUGGUCUCAGUUCGGAUCGAAGUCUGCAACUCGACUUCGUGAAGAUGGAUUCGCUAGUAAUCGCGCAUCAGCAACGGCGUGGUGAAUACGUUCCCGGGCCUUGUACACACCGCCCGUCAAGCCAUGGAAGCUGGGGGUGCCUGAAGUUCGUAACCGCAAGGAGCGACCUAGGGUAAAACUAGUGACUGGGGCUAAGUCGUAACAAGGU
This 1450-nucleotide ribosomal RNA is filed under the name metagenome. Its description in RNAcentral is "bacterial SSU rRNA". It matches the Rfam family "Bacterial small subunit ribosomal RNA". The record is from RNAcentral.